Molecule: small RNA, 127 nt
Filed under: Marmota monax (woodchuck)
Lineage: Eukaryota; Metazoa; Chordata; Mammalia; Rodentia; Sciuridae
Source: RNAcentral
ACUGGGCACAGUAGCAUAUGCCUAUAAUCCCAGCAACUCGGGAGGCUGAGGCAGGAGGAUCACGAGUUCAAAGCUGGCCUCAGCAACUUAGCAAGGCUCUAAGUAACUUAGUGAGACCCUGUCUCUA